GCCGGGGUGCCCGAGCGGACCAAGGGGGUAGGCUCGAGACCGUUCCAGCGUAAAGGGAGCUACCUACUGCCUCUAAGAGGUACACGGGUUCGAAUCCCGUCCCCGGCG
RNAcentral lists this transfer RNA (108 nucleotides) under Metallosphaera cuprina Ar-4. Its description in RNAcentral is "tRNA-Ser". It matches the Rfam family "tRNA". From Rfam's summary of the family: Transfer RNA (tRNA) molecules are approximately 80 nucleotides in length. The record is from RNAcentral. Lineage: Archaea; Thermoproteati; Thermoproteota; Thermoprotei; Sulfolobales; Sulfolobaceae.